RNAcentral lists this ribosomal RNA (252 nucleotides) under uncultured bacterium. Its description in RNAcentral is "partial 16S ribosomal RNA". It matches the Rfam family "Bacterial small subunit ribosomal RNA", at positions 526 to 779 of the family's 1533-position model. The record is from RNAcentral.
CGUAGGGGCGAGCGUUGUCCGGAAUUAUUGGGCGUAAAGCGCGCGCAGGCGGUCCCUUAAGUCUGAUGUGAAAGCCCACGGCUCAACCGUGGAGGGUCAUUGGAAACUGGGGGACUUGAGUGCAGAAGAGGAGAGCGGAAUUCCACGUGUAGCGGUGAAAUGCGUAGAGAUGUGGAGGAACACCAGUGGCGAAGGCGGCUCUCUGGUCUGUAACUGACGCUGAGGCGCGAAAGCGUGGGAGCAAACAGGAUU